This 219-nucleotide long non-coding RNA is filed under the name Panax ginseng (ginseng). Its description in RNAcentral is "long non-coding RNA (PGIN_LNC013939)". The record is from RNAcentral. Lineage: Eukaryota; Viridiplantae; Streptophyta; Magnoliopsida; Apiales; Araliaceae.
AGAAAAAAAAAUGAAUAAAACGGGAAAUAAGAGCAAAAAGCCCCCGUAGAUGAAAAUAAAGCAUAAGUAUCCCAUGUUGACCCUCGAUAUUGGUAAUUGUUUGAUUUUAGUUGGAUCUAGCUUGUUUUUGAAUUUCUUGAGUUUACAUUGUAUGAUGCCUUCAAAGAGACUUGUUAUGUGUUAAAUUUGAUUUUAUAUCAGUUAACAUUGUUGUGGAGC